Molecule: ribosomal RNA, 497 nt
Filed under: uncultured bacterium
Lineage: Bacteria
Description: partial 16S ribosomal RNA
Rfam family: Bacterial small subunit ribosomal RNA
Source: RNAcentral
GACGAACGCUGGCGGCGUGCCUAAUACAUGCAAGUUGAGCGAUGAAGCUUGGUGCUUGCACCAAUUUGAAGAGCAGCGAACGGGUGAGUAACGCGUGGGGAAUCUGCCUUUGAGCGGGGGACAACAUUUGGAAACGAAUGCUAAUACCGCAUAACAACUUUAAACAUAAGUUUUAAGUUUGAAAGAUGCAAUUGCAUCACUCAAAGAUGAUCCCGCGUUGUAUUAGCUAGUUGGUGAGGUAAAGGCUCACCAAGGCGAUGAUACAUAGCCGACCUGAGAGGGUGAUCGGCCACAUUGGGACUGAGACACGGCCCAAACUCCUACGGGAGGCAGCAGUAGGGAAUCUUCGGCAAGGGACGAAAGUCUGACCGAGCAACGCCGCGGGAGGGAAGAAGGUUUUCGGAUCGUAAAACUCUGUUGGUAGAGAAGAACGUUGGUGAGAGUGGAAAGCUCAUCAAGUGACGGUAACUACCCAGAAAGGGACGGCUAACUACGUG